Molecule: ribosomal RNA, 249 nt
Filed under: uncultured prokaryote
Description: partial 16S rRNA
Rfam family: Bacterial small subunit ribosomal RNA
Source: RNAcentral
ACGAAGGGGGCAAGCGUAAUCAGGAAUUAUUGGGCGAAAAGAGUGAGUAGGUGGUUUUUAAGCGUGAGGGGAAAGGAAAUAGCUUAAUUAUUGUAAGCCUUGCGAACUGGAAUACUUGAGUGCAGGAGAGGAAAGUGGAAUUCCUAGUGUAGCUGUGAAAUACUUAAAUAUUAGGAGAAGCACCAGGGGCGAGGGCGGCUUUCUGGACUGAAUCUUACACUGAGGCGCGAAAGCGUCUGGCUCAAGGAG